UACAGAGGUCCCGAGCGUUAGGCGGAAUCACUGGGCUUAAAGCGUGUGUAGGCGGGUCCGCAAGGGCCUUGUGAAAUCCCACCGCUCAACGGUGGAACUGCUGGGCAUACUGCGGGUCUUGAGCCAGCUAGGGGCGACCGGAACAGACGGUGGAGCGGUGAAAUGCGUAGAUAUCAGGAAGAACACCCGUGGCGAAGGCGGCUCUCUGGGACGGUACUGACGCUGAGACGCGAAAGCGUGGGGAGCGAACAGG
Molecule: ribosomal RNA, 253 nt
Filed under: uncultured bacterium
Lineage: Bacteria
Description: partial 16S ribosomal RNA
Rfam family: Bacterial small subunit ribosomal RNA
Source: RNAcentral